Long non-coding RNA from Pipistrellus kuhlii (Kuhl's pipistrelle), 718 nucleotides. RefSeq lists it as uncharacterized. Lineage: Eukaryota; Metazoa; Chordata; Mammalia; Chiroptera; Vespertilionidae. The transcript has 2 exons. The record is from RefSeq and is a predicted model, not a curated record.
GCAGCCAAUCAAUGAUUCUCUCUCAUCAUUGAUGUUUCUAUCUCUUUCCCCCUCUUCCUUCCUCUCUGAAAGUAAUAAAAAUAUUUUUUAAAAAGAAAAUGAAAUAAAGAUAUUCCCAGAUACACAAAAACUGAGAUAAUUUUUGCUAGUAGUACUUCCUUACAAUAAAUAUUAAAAGAAGUUCUCCAGGAAUAUAUAUUUUUAAUGCAAAACAUGCUCUGAAAACUACAAAGCACGUUUGAAAGUCAGGACCUAAAUAAAUGGAAUGACAUCUCAUGGUCUUGUGAUAGGCCAAUAUGAAGCAGAAGACUUAAUAUUUUUAAGAUGGCAAUACUCUCCAAGCUGGUCUACAGAUUCAACACAAAAGAUACUCAAUAUUGUUAGUCAUCAGGGAAAUGCAAAUCAAAACCACAAUGAGCUACUUCUUAACACCAUUGGAAUAGUUAUAAUUAAAAAGACAGAAGUAACAAAUGUUGGUAGGAAUAGGGAGACUGUGGUGAUAGAGCAGAAUAAUGCUGCUAUGUACACAAACGUUCAUAGCAGCAUUAUUCAUAGUAGCCAAAAACAGAAACAACCCAAAUGUCUAUCAACCUAUGUAUGAAUGGUUAAAUAAAAUUCGAUAUUUCCAUACAAUGGUAUAUUAUUCCACCAUAAAAAGGGAUGAAGCACUGACACGUGCUACCACAUGGGUGAAUUUUGAAAACAUACUUAGUGGUGG